CCCCUUCGGGGUACUCGAGUGGCGAACGGGUGAGUAACACGUGGGCAAUCUGCCCUGCACUUCGGGAUAAGCCUGGGAAACUGGGUCUAAUACCGGAUAGGACCUUUAGGCGCAUGUCUUUAGGUGGAAAGCUUUUGCGGUGUGGGAUGGGCCCGCGGCCUAUCAGCUUGUUGGUGGGGUGAUGGCCUACCAAGGCGACGACGGGUAGCCGGCCUGAGAGGGUGUCCGGCCACACUGGGACUGAGAUACGGCCCAGACUCCUACGGGAGGCAGCAGUGGGGAAUAUUGCACAAUGGGCGCAAGCCUGAUGCAGCGACGCCGCGUGGGGGAUGACGGCCUUCGGGUUGUAAACCUCUUUCACCAUCGACGAAGGUUCGGGUUUUCUCGGAUUGACGGUAGGUGGAGAAGAAGCACCGGCCAACUACGUGCCAGCAGCCGCGGUAAUACGUAGGGUGCGAGCGUUGUCCGGAAUUACUGGGCGUAAAGAGCUCGU
RNAcentral lists this ribosomal RNA (493 nucleotides) under Mycobacterium intracellulare subsp. chimaera. RNAcentral describes it as "bacterial SSU rRNA". It matches the Rfam family "Bacterial small subunit ribosomal RNA", at positions 76 to 572 of the family's 1533-position model. Lineage: Bacteria; Bacillati; Actinomycetota; Actinomycetes; Mycobacteriales; Mycobacteriaceae. The record is from RNAcentral.